This is a non-coding RNA of Rattus norvegicus (Norway rat), 451 nucleotides long. NCBI's taxonomy places the organism in Eukaryota, Metazoa, Chordata, Mammalia, Rodentia, Muridae. The record is from RefSeq and is a predicted model, not a curated record.
GGCUAUUUCAACAUCACGUUCCUGAACUCAGGAAAAUCUGUAUAAUGGCACUUUCCCAUAAAAGAAUGAAGUCAUGGCUUUGGGUGAUAUUGGAGAAAACAUAAAUAUCAGAUGAUGAACACAUAGGACUGAAUGAAUGGCCAAAUGAUUGGGAGAACUCAAGACAAGUCUUAUAACAAGUGGUCACAGCCAGAAGACAACCUCUUAGCAGAUCACAAGAAUGGUGCCUGCCUCCAAGUCUGAGGACCAGAGUUCUCUCAUCAAGACCCAUAUAAUGGCAGAAGAGAUCUGACUCAGAAAGUCGUCAUUUGGCAUCUACAUGUAUUCCAAUGAACACAUAUCCAGCAUUCAUUCAUUCACUCAUUCAUUCAUUCAUUCUCUCUCACACACACAUACAUACACAAUUUAUAUAUACAUACAUGCAUAUAUACAUACACAUACAUAUAUACAU